This 70-nucleotide transfer RNA is filed under the name Deltaproteobacteria bacterium. RNAcentral describes it as "tRNA-Gln". It matches the Rfam family "tRNA". Rfam says of the family: Transfer RNA (tRNA) molecules are approximately 80 nucleotides in length. The record is from RNAcentral. Lineage: Bacteria; Pseudomonadati; Myxococcota; Myxococcia.
GGAGUCGGCUAAUUGGUAAGCCACCUGACUCUGGAUCAGGGCAUUGGAGGUUCGAGUCCUUAGGACGCCG